Long non-coding RNA from Gasterosteus aculeatus aculeatus (three-spined stickleback), 781 nucleotides. NCBI's taxonomy places the organism in Eukaryota, Metazoa, Chordata, Actinopteri, Perciformes, Gasterosteidae. The record is from Ensembl.
GUUAGUACAACAAAAAGUUUACUCUGAAGCUCAAGGAAGAUUUUUACUGUAUGUAGCAGAUUCAUCAUCUUCAUCCCACAGUGAAGCUCAAAGAGUACAGACAGACGGAGCCGACCUACCCAACACUAACGGAAUCGGUCGACAGACUUUGCUGACGAACACAAACGGAGAGGUUCUGGUAAUGUCAGCAAGUGGAGCGGAGUCCGGUCUUCACACCGAGCUCACAGCGUCAGGUCUUGGACUUCAGCCAAAUGUCACAGUGUCGCCCCUCGCUGUCCUCCACACAGACACACUGCCCUCAGUUUCGCAUGGGUACUCCCACACAGAGCUGGUUAGCAUGGCAACAGACUCCACAGGGACAUACACAGUUUCAGCAGAUCCAACAGGAACUCCAUUUGACUUCAGUCAUCCAGCUGUGACGGAUCACACACAGAUGGCUGGUCAAGUCACUGAACAGUACUACCCAUCUGGUCAGGGUCCUGAAGGUACAAAAAAUGUGGAAUUGGAGGAUACCUGCUGACUUCCACAUAAAGCCGCAAGUUCGAUUCCUGCGCUACAGCUUCCAGUGUACCGACAAAUCAGCAAUGCCGAGGAAAUCAACCCCCUUCCACUAGCCGUAGGCCACGCCCACUGAGUGCCAGCAACUCAUUGGUGUUUUUUUUUUAAUAUUUAAAAUGUGGAAUUCUGUUUAUAGAAUUGUAUUUUGUCUUAGAGAAAAAUUAUGGAAAAAAAAUUUCAGCUAAUUUUUCCAUGUUUCUGAUUUGACUUCCUCUUCACAAUC